CCUACGGGCGGCAGCAGUAGGGAAUCUUCCACAAUGGGCGAAAGCCUGAUGGAGCAACGCCGCGUGGGUGAAGAAGGUCUUCGGAUCGUAAAACACUGUUGUUAGAGAAGAAAGUGCGUGAGAGUAUCUGUUCACGUUUCGACGGUAUCUAACCAGAAAGCACCGGCUAACUACGUGCCAGCAGCCGCGGUAAUACGUAGGUGGCAAGCGUUAUUCGGAUUUAGUGGGCGUAAAGGGCACGCAGGCGGUCUGUUAAGUCUGAUGUGAAAUCCUUGGGCUUAACCGGAGUAGUGCAUUGGAUACUGGGAGACUUGAGUGCAGAAGAGGAGAGUGGAACUCCAUGUGUAGCGGUGAAAUGCGUAGAGAUAUGGAAGAACACCGGUGGCGAAGGCGGCCCUCUGGUCGAUAACUGACGCUGAGGUGCGAAAGCGUGGGUAGCAAACAGGAUUAGAUACCCGGGUAGUC
This 465-nucleotide ribosomal RNA is filed under the name uncultured bacterium. Its description in RNAcentral is "partial 16S ribosomal RNA". It matches the Rfam family "Bacterial small subunit ribosomal RNA", at positions 338 to 795 of the family's 1533-position model. The record is from RNAcentral.